Molecule: long non-coding RNA, 1124 nt
Filed under: Setaria viridis
Lineage: Eukaryota; Viridiplantae; Streptophyta; Magnoliopsida; Poales; Poaceae
Description: long non-coding RNA (SVIR_LNC001326)
Source: RNAcentral
UUCAGGAGCUAGUAGUGGAUCAUCGAUGGUAUAUACUCGGAAGUGAUAAUCUAAUACAUCUAUUAUGUGAGCAAUGUUCUUCAUAUCAUCCAAUCUGUUAGAGACUCAAUGCCUCCUUUUAUGCUUUCUACUUAUCAUGAAUAUGCUUGUUCCUUAGUUUAAUUCGCGGUUAGACCUCAUAGCAUGCUUUAUGUAAUAGUGAUUAGAUCUAGUAUGUUGACCCUUCAUGAUAGCUAGACGCGUUCACUUGUGGUCAUGCCCUUAAACUGCCUAUGCUGAAGGGGGGAUCGUGACAGGGUCUACUUUCGUGUAAGGUGGAGGUUUUUAGGAGGUUGACCGGAAGUAUUAGUUUAAAGAUUGCUAUGGAUGAGAUGCAUGAUGUGCUUUUUUUCCCCUAGAACUACAACUAGAAGGCGAUAGGCUCUUCCUACAAUUGAUGGUGUUAUUUGAUAUAUGUGGAUAUGAUCUACCCUUAUUCAUGCCAUUGAUCUUUACAACAAGUUUGCCUUUAUAUGCAAUCAACGCUUCAUUUUAGAAUUGAUCUGCUUCAUUUUAGAAUUGAUUUGUUAGAUUAGAUGGAAAACCGUAGUUAGUUUGGUGCUGAUUGACAGAUUGAUAAAAUUUGGAUGAAAAACUCUAAGGCCCCGUUUGGAAAUGGAGGAAUUGGAAUCUACUUAAUGGAGUAGGCUAAUUUAUCUUGGAAUGUGGCAUUCCACAACUUUCCAAAGUUUAGAUAUAAGUCUAUCUUAAAUUCAUGGGGUGUGAGAUGAAAAUUGAUUGUAUAUAUUAUGAUUAUUAGAAUGGAAUUCAAUUCUUAUAGCAUGCUUUUGGACUCGUAGAAAUGCAGCACAUAAGUAUCUCUCCCAUAUCGCCAACAAUAGUAUACAAAUAUAUUCCACGUACAAUUAUAGUAGCUUAAUUAAUGUUUGUCUAAAUUAUGAUUAUUAGAAUGGAAUUCAAUUCUAAGGAUCCAAACGGGGCCUAAGGGAAAAACUACAAUGAUCUAUACACUUGCGGUUCACAAGCUGACACACUAACUGCCACCAAUAGUUCACAAACUGGCGCACUAAUUGUCGCCCGUGGCAGCGUUGAGAUGGUAGCUUCAUCUAUUGCCGUAGAAGGGG